UUGACGUCCGGUAUACGGACGUCAAAUAGGAUUACCACUGAAACAUAACUAUUAUGACUAUAGUACUACUGUGGACAUCGACUUAAAAAAAGUUAUGGAUGCCAUUUGCAUAUCAGAUUGAAUGAAUUUGUAUUUCAAUUAGUUCAGGUUGUUUCCGUUUUAGCGCGUAGCGCUGACAUCGAGUUAAAUAUACACAUUUGUAUACUGGCUGUACGUUAUUAGGCAAAUUUGGCGUCCUCAUGCGACGUUGCCGGUUUGAUUUAUUUUGUCUUAUAAGCGAAUAACGGACAUAAAGGGUUCUUUGAAUUAGCUUAAUAACAAUGUGUCGUUUGCCUACUGCGUUGCGCUGUUGAAACUUUAAUUAAAGACUAAAGCCAUUUACUAACCGGCGCGUAUACUGUUAGUACGUGUUCAUAGUAGUUCGGCGUCCCCUUGACCAGAUAUUUAUAUAAUUAUAUUUUCCAAACUGUGACUUAAAAGAAAAUGCCAAAGGAAUCCAAGCUUAAAGGUUGAACCAACUGACCGUGACACGACUGCGACUGCAACCCCGGUAUUGGUAAACAGAAAUCUCAAAACUUUAACAAGUUUGAUUCAAGACCACUGGAAAUUUGACGUCUCUAGUCAGGCAGCUGACGAUUUAAAUAUGAAUAAAUAUAAUAAAACAACUAUAGUUCCCUUGGCGAGUGAUUUGAAAUGUCUUAAAGAACAUUUAUGUAAAGCAGCUGCCCGAUCAUCAGCUAUGCUGACUGGGUCGCAGUCAACAUUAAAUUGUCUUGCUUACGAUAAAUUGAUUGAAACAGUAUUCUGUCGCGUUAUUUUACUCAAUCGUCGACGGCCAGGAGAACUAGAAAGAUUGCAGUUGAGUUAUUACCAAAGUUAUGAUUUGAAAGAUGAUGAACAAGAUAAAUAUCAAGAAUUUGAAAACGUUCUGUCUACAACUGAAAAAAUACUGGUUAACAAUCUCAAACGAAUCGUAAUUCGCGGUAAAAGGGGACGGGGAGUUCCUGUUUUAUUUAGCAGUGAUGUGCAAAAAGACAUUGAUAUUUUGAUGUCUCAGCGUCAUAAAUAUAUAGAUAAAAACAACGACUACAUGUUUGCUAAAAGUGGAGGAUCCCUUUUGUGUGGUUAUAAAACAAUAACAAAAUACUCAAAGUUGUGCGGAGCGAAAAAUCCUAAAGCACUGACUUCCACUCGCUUUAGGGAACAUUUGGCUACAUUGAGCCAAUUGUUUAAUAUGUCAGAGAAUGAAAUGGAACAGUUAGCUUCAUUUAUGGGGCAUACUUUGUCGGUCCACAAACAAAAUUAUAGAUUGCCAGACGAUGUGUAUCAAACGGCUAAAAUAUUUAAACUUUUGUUUCUCAUGGAGAGUGGAAAAGCUGACAUCUACAAAGGGCAAUCGUUGGAUGAUAUGGAUGAAGACAUCUUAGAUUUUGCUAUGGAGGAACUUGAUUCUGCUGAAAAACCUUUGACAGAUUCAACUACGACCGUAACAUAACCCACUCCAUCUUGCUCAACUACUACAUGUCAGCCAAAUAAAAAGCGAAUACUGGUUCCGUGGACUUCGGAACAAAAAAAUGUUGUACUAAAAUAUUUUGCAACACAUAUAAAAAGAAAAACACCACCAAAACGUCAUGAAUGCAACAGCUUAAAGAACCAACAUCCUGAUUUAUUGAGUAAUAAAGAUUGGCUGAAAAUUAAGGUGUUUAUUCAAAACACAUAUAGUAAGAAAUAAAAUAUGUGUAACAAUUUUCCAUAUUAAUUAACUCUAACAUAAAUUUUACACGUAAUUACUAGCAAGCAAGUUAAAUAUUACGAGUUGAAUGAUUUAUAUAAUCAUCCCGGCCUUUUGAGAGCGGCGUUGCUCUUUUGGUCCUGAAGAAAUACUCACGGAGUCUUUCUCCAGGACCAAGAAACCAAUGUCAAUUUCAAAUCGUCGGAAUAAUUAUUAAAGUUAAUCUACUCGCGAUUAAAUAGACGCUCAUUACUAAUACUAUUCUAUAUGUCAUUUUUGUUUAUAUUUUUCGGGUUCCGUACUCGAAGGGUGCCUAACGGAAUCCUACAGGUACACGCGCUUAAACAUUGUACAUAUGUUCAUCGUAGACAAAAGCUCUUGACUAAGGCCAUUUCUUAUUAUUAUAUUACAAUGUAUUUGGUAUGUGAAGCCAAAUAUUAUUCCGGAAGUCUUUAAGUACAUAGCGAAGGUACGACACCUUCAUUCAGUGGUUAAAGCUCUUUCUGAGCAAUCGAGUGUAUUAAAAUAGUAAAUAGAAUAAAUAUUUUACAUGGCGUCCGGUGGGAAUACACCAGAAGAUGAUGGAUAUGUGGAUAUGCAAUUACUUGCAUUUCGACUGCCGUCUUAUGGUACGUUUAGAUAAAAACUUUGUGAUAAAAAACAUACCAACUAUAAUGUGCACCCUUUUUUCACGAUUUAAAGUUGCGCCCUCGUAAUUUUUAUGCAAAAAGUAUCUAAUAGUCCGUACCGUCAAUACUCGUAACUUCGUGGGCACUUGUAACUGCAUUUAUGGUUGUCAAUACGAUUCAUUUAGAGUUAUACGGUCAGCGUCAAAAGUAAGUGAUAAUUUUCGUAGGUAUUUGACGUAAAUCAGUACUAAAAUUGUCAGUUACUUUUGACGCUGACUGUACAUACCUAGUCAUAUAAUAUACCCGCAGAUCAGGCAUAUAUUAAUUCAUCAAAAUGUAGUUUCAGAAACAGAAAUUGAUUCACGAAAUACCACUCCUACGCCUUCUCAUAUUUCUCUACCACCACCACCACCCGAGCUACUGAUGUCAACAGAUUCGGUUGAAAGAGCGGAAAUGCAGACAACAUCCUCUCAGUAUGUGUGGCGAGGAUCCGUCGGUUCCGAAAAUGUAAGAUGCGUAAGCAUCACUAUAACAAAAAGCCAAUUGUUUAAAAUUAAAGUAGCGAUAGCUGUAGGUAUUUGCUAUGCAGCUGUAUCCAUGUUGUUAAAUGUGUGGAUUUUAAUGUUAAUGAUACGUUAAUUUAUUAUUAGCGAUCCAUAAGGGAAUCGAACCCACGCCAUACGGCCUAAAACAAAGCACAAAGCACGCACGAAUGGUGGGUUUUGUGGGGCUCGGAUCCCACAGGGUCGAUUCUUUUUUACUGUUUUCGUUAUUUGUUUGGGUUUAACCUUUUGAACGCCAGCAUACGAAAUGCACACAAAGCAGAGUAAAUUAAAAAAAUAAAGAUAUUGCGGAAAUGCAUAGUGAUUGUAAUAAAAUCGUGAUAUAUUGCGAAAUAACUACAUCUCAACUUGGACACCUUUAGGCGUCGUUGGCGUCAUGGACACAACAGCGAACGACGCCUUUAGGCGUUCUUGGCGGUCAAAGGGUAGUAGGGCGUCGAGUUGAUGCUACCACUUAAAAAUAAAAUUAAAGAUUUCUACAAAGUGUAACAAAAAAAGUGGGGAUCCGUUUAAGGGCAUAUUUGGUAUCGUAUUUACGAUAAUUUUUGUACGGGCCUCGUGUCGUUCCAGCAGGUACCGUCAAUACAAAACCUAAUUUUUUUUGGCGCCAUAAAAAUUUUUCUUCCAGUUUUUCCUACCCAAAAUACGGAUACCUUAUAUGCCCUUAAACAGAUCCCCACUAUUCCUGUUACACCCUGUAUGAAUAAUUGAGGGGACCCCAUGUUAGUAAUACUGUUAUUGUUUUAGUUUUCAAGCAACAUGCCUUGCUAUUUACUUGCUAGGUACUUCUUUUCUUAUCAAUAUGAACUGCACUUGAACAAUCGUUAAGUACAUAAGCGUUCGUGACUUAAUAUUUAAUAUGACCUAUCUUGUCUUAGCGGGACCGUAGCAUAUGAUUGGCGCGACUGUAUUUCGCCAGCGGGAUAGAUAUUUGUCACUUCCUCACAGUUUUCACAAGAAAGUGACAGUCACGCCAAUCACGUGCUAGAGGUACGUUAAAAAUAUUAUGUCUUCAUGAAAUAUUUUCGUUAUUGUACCGUCUGAGUCUGAUUCUAUUGUCUUCUUGUCGUCGCAGUCAGUCGUAAUCUGUUUUGUCAGGGUCAAUUAUUUUAUCGUGUCGAUUUUUAAUUUAAAAUUGUCUAUUCUGAAAAAGUGUGUCAGUCAGCCAGUCUGCCAGAAAGUCUGUCUGGUCGGCACGGGGGUCAGAGUCUUCCAACAGUUAUCGUUACCGCUCUCAAAACGCGCGGGUGUGACCGGCCCCUAAUUGGUGUGUUAAAUAGGUAUCAAAAUUUAUUUAGGCACAGAAAGUGUCAUGAUUAUGUAUCAAUAAAGUGUAUUUUUAUCAUUUUAGUACUUAUUAAAAUUGUUUAUGUCUGA
This is a long non-coding RNA of Leguminivora glycinivorella, 4301 nucleotides long. RefSeq lists it as uncharacterized. Lineage: Eukaryota; Metazoa; Arthropoda; Insecta; Lepidoptera; Tortricidae. The record is from RefSeq and is a predicted model, not a curated record. The transcript is spliced from 2 exons.